Molecule: ribosomal RNA, 595 nt
Filed under: Rhynchogastrema complexa
Lineage: Eukaryota; Fungi; Basidiomycota; Tremellomycetes; Tremellales; Rhynchogastremaceae
Description: eukaryotic LSU rRNA
Rfam family: Eukaryotic large subunit ribosomal RNA
Source: RNAcentral
CUAACAAGGAUUCCCCUAGUAACGGCGAGUGAACCGGGAUGAGCUCAAAUUUGAAAUCUGGCGUCCUCAGGGCGUCCGAGUUGUAAUCUAUAGAGGCGUUUUCCGUGCCGGACCGUGUCCAAGUCCCUUGGAACAGGGUAUCAAAGAGGGUGACAAUCCCGUACUUGACACGACGACCGGUGCUCUGUGAUACGUCUUCUACGAGUCGAGUUGUUUGGGAAUGCAGCUCAAAAUGGGUGGUGAGUUCCAUCUAAAGCUAAAUAUUGGCGAGAGACCGAUAGCGAACAAGUACCGUGAGGGAAAGAUGAAAAGCACUUUGGAAAGAGAGUUAAACAGUACGUGAAAUUGUUGAAAGGGAAACGAUUGAAGUCAGUCGUGACUGUUGGGCUCAGCAGGUUCUGCCUGUGUAUUCCCUUCAGUCGGGUCAACAUCAGUUUUGACCGGUGGAUAAGGGCAGCAGGAAUGUGGCACCCUCGGGUGUGUUAUAGCCUGUCGUCGCAUACAUCGGUCGAGACUGAGGAACGCAGCUCGCCUUUAUGGCCGGGGUUCGCCCACGUCCGAGCUUAGGAUGUUGACAUAAUGGCUUUAAACGACC